GACGAACGCUGGCGGCGUGCCUAAUACAUGCAAGUCGAGCGGACCAAACAGGAGCUUGCUCUUGUUUGGUUAGCGGCGGACGGGUGAGUAACAUGUGGGUAACCUGCCCGUAAGACCGGGAUAACUCCGGGAAACCGGAGCUAAUACCGGAUAACACCGAAGACCGCAUGGUCUUUGGUUGAAAGGCGGCUUCGGCUGCCACUUACGGAUGGGCCCGCGGCGCAUUAGCUAGUGGGUGAGGUAACGGCUCACCAAGGCGACGAUGCGUAGCCGGCCUGAGAGGGUGACCGGCCACACUGGGACUGAGACACGGCCCAGACUCCUACGGGAGGCAGCAGUAGGGAAUCUUCCGCAAUGGACGAAAGUCUGACGGAGCGACGCCGCGUGAGCGAAGAAGGUCUUCGGAUCGUAAAGCUCUGUUGUUAGGGAAGAUGAAGCGCCGUUCGAACAGGGCGGCGCGGUGACGGUACCUAACGAGAAAGCCCCGGCUAACUACGUG
Molecule: ribosomal RNA, 499 nt
Filed under: uncultured bacterium
Lineage: Bacteria
Description: partial 16S ribosomal RNA
Rfam family: Bacterial small subunit ribosomal RNA
Source: RNAcentral